AUAUUUUGAUCGGGAGAUACCAUGAUCAUGAAGGUGGUUUUCCCAAGGUGAGGCUCAUCCAUUGCACUCCUGGGGUGCUGACCCCUGCGAUUUCCCCAAAUGCAGGAAACUCAACUGCAUAAUUUGUGGUAGACUGUGGGAAUGGUGUGGACACAAU
Molecule: small nuclear RNA, 157 nt
Organism: Rhineura floridana
Lineage: Eukaryota; Metazoa; Chordata; Lepidosauria; Squamata; Rhineuridae
Product: U1 spliceosomal RNA
Exons: 1
Source: RefSeq, a predicted model, not a curated record